UACGAAGGGGGCUAGCGUUGCUCGGAGUCCCUGGGCGUAAAGAGCGCGCAGACGGCGUUUUAAGUCGGGGGUGAAAGCCUGUGGCUCAACCACAGAAUGGCCUUCGAUACUGGGACGCUUGAGUAUGGUAGAGGUUGGUGGAACUGCGAGUGUAGAGGUGAAAUUCGUAGAUAUUCGCAAGAACACCGGUGGCGAAGGCGGCCAACUGGACCAUCACUGACGCUGAGGCGAGAAAGCGUGGGGAGCAAACAGG
Molecule: ribosomal RNA, 253 nt
Filed under: uncultured bacterium
Lineage: Bacteria
Description: partial 16S ribosomal RNA
Rfam family: Bacterial small subunit ribosomal RNA
Source: RNAcentral